CGUAGGUCCCGAGCGUUUGUCCGGAUUUAUUGGGCGUAAAGCGAGCGCAGGCGGUUUGAUAAGUCUGAAGUUAAAGGCUGUGGCUCAACCAUAGUUCGCUUUGGAAACUGUCAAACUUGAGUGCAGAAGGGGAGAGUGGAAUUCCAUGUGUAGCGGUGAAAUGCGUAGAUAUAUGGAGGAACACCGGUGGCGAAAGCGGCUCUCUGGUCUGUAACUGACGCUGAGGCUCGAAAGCGUGGGGAGCGAACAGGAUUAUGACC
Molecule: ribosomal RNA, 260 nt
Filed under: uncultured bacterium
Lineage: Bacteria
Description: partial 16S ribosomal RNA
Rfam family: Bacterial small subunit ribosomal RNA
Source: RNAcentral